CACCUCUCAGGGUUGCACCUGGAGAGUUUCCAGUCCUCUACCAGUCUCGACUACUGGAGGGAGAGUCAGGCAGAGGCCUACCCAUUCCAUCCUUAGCUUGGCCAGUGGCUAAGGAGUGGAAGGCAAUCUGCUACAAGU
RNAcentral lists this small nucleolar RNA (138 nucleotides) under Ornithorhynchus anatinus (platypus). Lineage: Eukaryota; Metazoa; Chordata; Mammalia; Monotremata; Ornithorhynchidae. The record is from RNAcentral.